UACGGAGGGAGCUAGCGUUGUUCGGAAUUACUGGGCGUAAAGCGCGCGUAGGCGGCUUUGUAAGUUAGAGGUGAAAGCCCGGGGCUCAACUCCGGAACUGCCUUUAAGACUGCAUCGCUUGAAUCCAGGAGAGGUGAGUGGAAUUCCGAGUGUAGAGGUGAAAUUCGUAGAUAUUCGGAAGAACACCAGUGGCGAAGGCGACUUACUGGACGAUUGUUGACGCUGAGGUGCGAAAGCGUGGGGAGCAAACAGG
This 253-nucleotide ribosomal RNA is filed under the name uncultured bacterium. Its description in RNAcentral is "partial 16S ribosomal RNA". It matches the Rfam family "Bacterial small subunit ribosomal RNA", at positions 524 to 776 of the family's 1533-position model. The record is from RNAcentral.